GUCCACGCUGUAAACGAUGAAUACUAGGUGUGCGGGGACUGACCCCCUGCGUGCCGCAGUUAACACAAUAAGUAUUCCACCUGGGGAGUACGAUCGCAAGGUUGAAACUCAAAGGAAUUGACGGGGGCCCGCACAAGCGGUGGAUUAUGUGGUUUAAUUCGAAGCAACGCGAAGAACCUUACCAAGGCUUGACAUUGAUUGAACGCUCUAGAGAUAGAGAUUUCCCUUGGGGACAAGAAACAGGUGGUGCAUGGCUGUCGU
This 261-nucleotide ribosomal RNA is filed under the name uncultured bacterium. RNAcentral describes it as "partial 16S ribosomal RNA". It matches the Rfam family "Bacterial small subunit ribosomal RNA", at positions 793 to 1055 of the family's 1533-position model. The record is from RNAcentral.